GAUUGUACUUCCUCCACUCCGCUGAAAGCUUACUGACUUCCCACUCUCCUCAGCCACAGUGACUCACAGCAGCUGCAGGAGAUCACCCAGAAUCCUGUAUGGGUUUCUUUUUCUAUAAACAGGUCAAGAAUUGCUGAGGAGGAAGCAUACCCAAGCAAUUACUGAGCCAACUAUCCUAAUUCAGCUGUGAGUCCUCAAGAUCUGCACCAACUGAAGUUAUUUAGCGAUUUCAGAUGAGAUCUGAGCUUGAGCUUCUCAAAUAUGUGUGACCAGUAGGGAACAAUGUCAGCAGGCUUUGGGGGGAGGAGGGGAAGGCCUGCAGCCUUGCCAUCAGAUCUACUACACCCUGUCCUGACCUCCUCCAACCAACAAGGUAGUAAAUAUCAAGCCAUCUAGAGUUGGAAAAUCAGGGUUGUUUUCCUCUUUAAACAAUCUGGUGGGUGGGGCUGGGGAUAUGGCCUAGUGGCAAGAGUGCC
Molecule: long non-coding RNA, 476 nt
Organism: Perognathus longimembris pacificus (Pacific pocket mouse)
Lineage: Eukaryota; Metazoa; Chordata; Mammalia; Rodentia; Heteromyidae
Exons: 3
Source: RefSeq, a predicted model, not a curated record